CAGUAUAGACUAACUCCUUUUCAGCACAAAUUCUUAUACCUAUACGUCUUAUACUAACCUGUCAUUAAAAAUAAUGUCCAGGUUGGCUCUGGGGUUCAGCCAGCCAUAGGCUUAUAAACCCUUCUCUAUCCUGUGAUCCUUACAAAUUCAAUUCUAAAUGGCACUGUGAGCUGUUUGGCACUGCGUCGUAACAGCACUUUCUGAAUACAAUGACCCAGUGCGCGCAGCAAUCGCGUGCAAUGGAGUAGCGAAUAUAGAGUAAGAAGCUUGGGUACACUGUGUACUUUCUCGAUUUCUCACACAGAUAUUGAUACAUUCCAGGACAUUUUCACUCACAUUUGCGUCCCGAACUCAUGCUAGAUUGAAGACUUUGCAGCUUCAUCAAAAUGUCUUUCCUAGAGGGAUCAUUUCGAAGCAUAUAUCUCGCAAGAGCGCAUGCAUACUGGGUUGCCCUGAAAGGAACAAAAAAGGGAUUCGGGGGUCUGGAAACUCUCAUGACAUUCACUGGGGCCAUCACUUUUCCAGUGCCAUCCAGGGCUUUCCAGUAUCUUUUCGAAAUGCCCUAUGAGGGAGAACUGAGAGCAGUCACAUCAACACCAAUGAAGGGAAAGCCCUCUAGUAUUAACUACUCCAGAGGUGUCCAGCAUUUCUAGUGGGACAGACAGAUGAGCAUCUUUGCGCAAUUGCAGAAGCCCCUGAAAUUGAGAACCUUGAACAGAGGAUCAGCUUUCCAGGAGACUGCAUAUUUAGAAUGAUGGCCCAUGUUGGUUCAAAUGCACCAU
This is a long non-coding RNA of Alosa sapidissima (American shad), 782 nucleotides long. RefSeq lists it as uncharacterized. NCBI's taxonomy places the organism in Eukaryota, Metazoa, Chordata, Actinopteri, Clupeiformes, Clupeidae. The record is from RefSeq and is a predicted model, not a curated record. The transcript has 5 exons.